GCCUGGCUGGCUCAGUCGGUAGAGCAUGUGACUCUUGAUCUCAGUGUUGUGAGUUUGAGCCCCACGCUGGGCA
Molecule: non-coding RNA, 73 nt
Organism: Mustela lutreola (European mink)
Lineage: Eukaryota; Metazoa; Chordata; Mammalia; Carnivora; Mustelidae
Source: the annotation of a RefSeq genome assembly